Suricata suricatta (meerkat) is the source of this 1686-nucleotide long non-coding RNA. RefSeq lists it as uncharacterized. The transcript is spliced from 3 exons. The record is from RefSeq and is a predicted model, not a curated record. NCBI's taxonomy places the organism in Eukaryota, Metazoa, Chordata, Mammalia, Carnivora, Herpestidae.
CAUGUUCUAUGUCUCUCUCUCUCAAAAACAAACAAGCAAACAAACAUUUAAAAACUUUAAAAAAAAGGACUGUUAAUCUCAUUUGGUCCUUUGACUAUGUUCUAGCAUUGGGGUAGAUGAUACAAUCAAGACUUAAGUUGAACUAAAAGUGGAGGAAUUCAGUCACACUGUUAUAAAAUUAGAAAAAUUGAAUUAUCUGGAAAACACGUUAUCAUUUGUAAGGAGAGUGGAGCCAAAUCACAUUUUAACACCUUGGGAGGGAGGGGAAAUCUUGUCUUUGCUUUCGUUGAGGUGCACCAUGUCCAGCUGCUUUCAAAUUAGCCUACCCACCACAUUUGGUAUGUAUUUCUAAGGGUCUGGUUUUCUACUCCGAAGAAGAAAAGGGCAGUUAACCACGAAGAAUAUUUUUAGAUAGUUGGGGUCCGGAAAUACUUCAGUUACUUAUCGUGACCGCAGUAUGUUUGCAUUUUAUCCCACUGCUUCAUUGGAGGAAACCGUGGGGUAGAGUAAUGUUUUGGAUGGUACAGCCCUUGCAGACCAUCUAACCCCCACACCACUGUCCCCGUGCCUUCCCCAGGCACUGUUAGGAGGCCUGCCUGGGGCGGGGGCGGGCGUGUGGAGGUGGUGACACCCGCGCUGGCCCCAGCCACUUUCUCCAAGUCUGCGGGUCCCAUCGGGAAAGUGAAAAUGAAAACUGAAGCUACCCUGACUGCCUCCGCUCUGGCUGACCCGCAUUGGUCACUUAGGCUAUGUGAAAGGACGGGAAGAGUCGCGAGUUCAAGGGGUGGUGAGCCUUUUAAGAGUCUGCCCUUUCCUCUGGGUAGUAGGGAGUCUCCUUUCUCACUUCGCUGACUAGUGCAGCUACAACGCCUAUUUUUGGGCGCUCUGAUGGCCCCGGCUGGCAGCAGCCUCGCUCGUUCCCGCCCCAGUAAGUCUCCACCCCGCCCGCCCUCAGCUUCUGCCCCUGAGGCCACGCCCCCUGGAGCCCAAAGGGCACCGGACGGACCGGCGUGGGCGGGGCUUCAACAAGGGCACCUCCCUUUCUUCCUCCUCCCCUGUUCUUCUUCCCGUCGCGGGGGAGGUGCUGGAUCCUGGAGGCCUGGCGGAGACUGGGUCCAGGGGAACCCAGAAUUUCUCAUCAGGGUCCGUCCAGUCCUCGUCACCCAGCGGAGGGUGGUGUUGGCUUCGAGUUUCUCCCAGGCGCAUCUCAGCAUUCAGAACCUUUCGGGGAGGGUGGAUCCUGAAUAACCGUUUGGGCACUUCUUCCUGGUGCGCCAGCACCACCCAAGUGGAAGUGUUAAGGGGAGUAGGUAAAUAGAACUGUUGAAAGGAAAAGAAUGCCCUUGAAUUACGAAGUUCCUAGCCGAAGAAAAAUCAGGAGCAAGGACAUGAGAGUACUAAAAUUUUGAGGCAAAUUCACAGUCAGUUAAAUAAUACAAAUGGCUAGAAUUACCAUCAAGCUAUCGCUAAUUUCAAACCACCUCUUAAUUACAGCUAACAGGAUGCCUGUUAAUUACAGUAGGCACCAGGACUGAUACUUACAGAUCAAGUUCCGAUCGGAUUAUUUAGAGAAAUGCAGGUUCAGGUGUACUGUAUAGUGACUCGACUGUUCUAUACAUGACUCAGUGCUCAUCACGGGCACACAUAGCUCUAAUUAUACAGAAACUGUGCAAGAAGGCACCACAU